UUUCAAUGUUAGAAAAGCACAGAGAUCUUUUUUGGCACUGGUUCAGGGAUUCGGAGAUUUACAAUGGAUGGUGUAUAUGGAGAAAGAUAAUGUCUGUUGAGAAAUGAGCUGGUGAGAACUCCGGGUGUCACAGGACCCAGGCCAUCUGCACAAUCUCUCAGAGGAAGACAGUCUCUCAGACGCUCAGUUCUCUGGCACACACAGGGAGAAGCUUCUCUGAUUAACUCUGGGAGCCACUUUAUUUUCCUAUGUUCACAAGCCUGGAUAUUUAGAAGCCUGUUUGAUACUGUGUCACUUUAGUUACACAUCAAUAAUAAUUUCUCUACUUGGGCCUAUGACCACCCUGGACAGGGGAUGUAAGCUGGGCUUCUAGUACCCAGCACAGUUCCUCCCCAACAAGACACUUGUGCAGCACUCCCAAAAUAUAAUCAGGGGGCAGUUGGUUCCUGCUACCACAGUCACUAUUGCACAGUGACAGCUGGCUAAGGACAGCUGUGUGAAGAAGAGGGCCCAGGAGAGCAGUGAGAAGUAUGCAGAACAAGAACUCCAGCACAGAUCAGAGGGAUGCUCUCAUGAGAACUCUGCCCAUCAGCAGGCUGGCAUAUGAGAGAAUAUUCAGAAGAGAAAGAGGAAGACGAGGGAAAUGAUUUGAAGAGCAGACGGUGUGAAGGGCAGACGGCAGCUUGAAGUAUCCCCAUUAGACAAUCCCACAUAGUGUGAGCUCAGUUCUGCUACUGAUGCUGUAACGGAGAGCUGAGUGCCACACACUAAAAAUGAGGAAAAUGACACCACAGACACAGGCCAAAUCAUCCAAGGCAUGCUCAUACUCAUUAUCACUAAGGUGUUGUAUUUCUUGAUUUGGAAGCUCCAAGAAAUAUGCAGACAUAUAGCCAUAUCAUCAAGACUACACUGGAGUGAAUUGCAGUGAUUUAAAAUGUGAGAUUCUGAUUUUAGAAUUCACUCAAUUUCCUUAUUUAAAUUCAGUGUCCCUGAAUUGCUUAUGAAGUGAACAACAUGAAGAAUGCCUGUUUAUAAAUGCCAUUUUAAGGAAAAUCAAUAACCAUUAUACGGUUUCUGCUAUCCUUGGCUCUCUGAGAUGAUAUGAAUCUAUUCAUAUAGCAGGUGUUGUGUGAAUCUAAACCUCUGGGGAGGGGAUUAAAUAAAAAAAAUUUCCGAAUCUGAACCAAAUAAGAGAAAAUGAUAUCACUUCUACAAUACAGAAGCCUUUUAUAACACUACUUCCCCAUCAUUUCUUCAGUUUGGCUGUAAGUUGGGUACUACCUAUAGACAAUGAUCUUAUAACAUCCACUGAAUGCAUUACAAGCAGUAAAGCCCAUGUUAUGUGCUACACACAGCACCAAAUUAGAAAGGUGUAAUUUCUGAUGUCUUGGAGGGUGGGCUACAGUGGGGCACAGAGACAAACAGGAGCACAAACAUGUAGACUCGCUGAAGCAAGCAGGAAAACAAGAGGCUUCGUGGGUCACAGUCUCUAGAAGAUCAGACUAAUAAAAGGAAUACAGUUAAAGGGGAUUUGAUGGGUUAUCUUGCUCGGUGUGGUCUGAAUAAGUCAACCAGGGCUAGCUUACACCAGGGAAGCCAGG
RNAcentral lists this long non-coding RNA (1601 nucleotides) under Cricetulus griseus (Chinese hamster). Its description in RNAcentral is "lncRNA (ENSCGRG00015031353.1)". The record is from RNAcentral. Lineage: Eukaryota; Metazoa; Chordata; Mammalia; Rodentia; Cricetidae.